UACAGAGGGUGCGAGCGUUAAUCGGAUUUACUGGGCGUAAAGCGUGCGUAGGCGGUUCGUUAAGUCGGUUGUGAAAGCCCUGGGCUUAACCUGGGAAUUGCAGUCGAUACUGAUGGACUCGAGAACGGUAGAGGGAGGCGGAACUCCAGGUGUAGCGGUGAAAUGCGUAGAUAUCUGGAAGAACACCGAUGGCGAAGGCA
This 200-nucleotide ribosomal RNA is filed under the name uncultured bacterium. RNAcentral describes it as "partial 16S ribosomal RNA". It matches the Rfam family "Bacterial small subunit ribosomal RNA", at positions 524 to 723 of the family's 1533-position model. The record is from RNAcentral.